GUGCUUGCUUUGGCAGCACAUAUACUAAAAUUAGACGAUACAGAGAAUUGUUGCAUGACCUCUGUGCAAAGAUGGCAUGCAGAUAGAUCCAUGAAGCUUUCCAUAUUUUU
Small nuclear RNA from Talpa occidentalis (Iberian mole), 110 nucleotides. Lineage: Eukaryota; Metazoa; Chordata; Mammalia; Eulipotyphla; Talpidae. The record is from RefSeq and is a predicted model, not a curated record.